UACGAAGGGGGCUAGCGUUGCUCGGAAUUACUGGGCGUAAAGGGCGCGUAGGCGGAUGUUUAAGUCGGGGGUGAAAGCCCAGGGCUCAACCCUGGAAUUGCCUUCGAUACUGGACAUCUUGAGUGCGGGAGAGGUGAGUGGAACUCCGAGUGUAGAGGUGAAAUUCGUAGAUAUUCGGAAGAACACCAGUGGCGAAGGCGACUCACUGGCCCGUUACUGACGCUGAUGCGCGAAAGCGUGGGGAGCAAACAGG
Molecule: ribosomal RNA, 253 nt
Filed under: uncultured bacterium
Lineage: Bacteria
Description: partial 16S ribosomal RNA
Rfam family: Bacterial small subunit ribosomal RNA
Source: RNAcentral